GGUUAAGUUAGAAAGGGCGCACGGUGGAUGCCUUGGCACUAGGAGCCGAAGAAGGACGGGACUAACACCGAUAUGCUUUGGGGAGCUGUACGUAAGCGUUGAUCCAGAGAUUUCCGAAUGGGGGAACCCACUAUCUUUAGUCGGAUAGUAUCCUUACGUGAAUACAUAGCGUAAGGAAGGCAGACCCAGGGAACUGAAACAUCUAAGUACCUGGAGGAAGAGAAAGAAAAAUCGAUUUCCUGAGUAGCGGCGAGCGAAACGGAAAGAGCCCAAACCAAGAAGCUUGCUUCUUGGGGUUGUAGGACACUCUAUACGGAGUUACAAAAGAAAGUUAUAAAUGAAGCGGUCUGGAAAGGCCCGCCAAAGACGGUAACAGCCCGGUAGUUGAAAUGGCUUUCCCUCCAGAGUGGAUCCUGAGUACGGCGGAACACGUGAAAUUCCGUCGGAAUCCGGGAGGACCAUCUCCCAAGGCUAAAUACUCCCUAGUGACCGAUAGUGAACCAGUACCGUGAGGGAAAGGUGAAAAGCACCCCGGAAGGGGAGUGAAACAGUUCCUGAAACCGUGUGCCUACAAGUAGUUAGAGCCCGUUAAUGGGUGAUAGCGUGCCUUUUGUAGAAUGAACCGGCGAGUUACGAUUUGUUGCAAGGUUAAGCGGAAAAAGCGGAGCCGUAGCGAAAGCGAGUCUGAAUAGGGCGCAUAAGUAACAGGUCGUAGACCCGAAACCAGGUGAUCUACCCAUGUCCAGGAUGAAGGUAAGGUAAUACUUACUGGAGGUCCGAACCCACGCACGUUGAAAAGUGCGGGGAUGAGGUGUGGGUAGCGGAGAAAUUCCAAUCGAACUUGGA
This 846-nucleotide ribosomal RNA is filed under the name Listeria monocytogenes. RNAcentral's name for it is "partial 23S ribosomal RNA". It matches the Rfam family "Bacterial large subunit ribosomal RNA", at positions 1 to 843 of the family's 2925-position model. Lineage: Bacteria; Bacillati; Bacillota; Bacilli; Caryophanales; Listeriaceae. The record is from RNAcentral.